UUUCCCAUUUGACUGCCACAUUUUCUUCUACUGAUAGAUUUUAGUGGCUAUGCUUGUGGGAUAGAGUGAAGCUGCCGAGAUCUGAAGGGGGAGGAUUUCUCCAUGUCCUCCUUCUAUAUGAAACGGCCGGACAGAAAACG
This is a small nucleolar RNA of Sorex araneus (European shrew), 140 nucleotides long. Ensembl annotates it as small nucleolar RNA, H/ACA box 29. The record is from Ensembl. Lineage: Eukaryota; Metazoa; Chordata; Mammalia; Eulipotyphla; Soricidae.